CGUAGGGUGCAAGCGUUAAUCGGAAUUACUGGGCGUAAAGCGUGCGCAGGCGGUUUGUAAGUCUGUCGUGAAAUCCCCGGGCUCAACCUGGGAAUUGCGAUGGAGACUGCAAGGCUAGAAUCUGGCAGAGGGGGGUAGAAUUCCACGUGUAGCAGUGAAAUGCGUAGAGAUGUGGAGGAACACCGAUGGCGAAGGCAGCCCCCUGGGUCAAGAUUGACGCUCAUGCACGAAAGCGUGGGGAGCAAACAGGAUUAGAUACCCUGGUAGUCCACGCCCUAAACGAUGUCUACUAGUUGUCGGGUUUUAAUUAACUUGGUAACGCAGCUAACGCGUGAAGUAGACCGCCUGGGGAGUACGGUCGCAAGAUUA
Molecule: ribosomal RNA, 369 nt
Filed under: uncultured organism
Description: bacterial SSU rRNA
Rfam family: Bacterial small subunit ribosomal RNA
Source: RNAcentral